CCUACGGGAGGCUGCAGUGAGGAAUAUUGGUCAAUGGGCGAGAGCCUGAACCAGCCAAGUCGCGUGAGGGAAGACGGUCCUAUGGAUUGUAAACCUCUUUUGUCGGGGAGCAAAAAGGCCUCGUGAGGCCACAAGUGAGAGUACCCGAAGAAAAAGCAUCGGCUAACUCCGUGCCAGCAGCCGCGGUAAUACGGAGGAUGCGAGCGUUAUCCGGAUUUAUUGGGUUUAAAGGGUGCGUAGGCUGUCGGAUAAGUUAGAGGUCAAAUGUCGGGGCUUAACCCCGUGCCUGCCUCUGAUACUGUUCGACUAGAGAGCGGAUGCAGCAGGCGGAAUGAGUAGUGUAGCGGUGAAAUGCUUAGAUAUUACUCAGAACACCGAUUGUGCAGGCAGCUUGCUAAUCCGCAUCUGACGCUGAUGCACGAAAGCGUGGGUAGCGAACAGGAUUAGAUACCCCAGUAGUC
RNAcentral lists this ribosomal RNA (461 nucleotides) under uncultured bacterium. RNAcentral's name for it is "partial 16S ribosomal RNA". It matches the Rfam family "Bacterial small subunit ribosomal RNA", at positions 338 to 795 of the family's 1533-position model. The record is from RNAcentral.